GGACUAAUGACAGUCUGGG
RNAcentral lists this microRNA (19 nucleotides) under Ophiophagus hannah (king cobra). RNAcentral describes it as "oha-miR-1641". Lineage: Eukaryota; Metazoa; Chordata; Lepidosauria; Squamata; Elapidae. The record is from miRBase by way of RNAcentral.